Molecule: non-coding RNA, 119 nt
Filed under: Salipiger sp. CCB-MM3
Lineage: Bacteria; Pseudomonadati; Pseudomonadota; Alphaproteobacteria; Rhodobacterales; Roseobacteraceae
Also listed under: 1 other name
Description: Yangia sp. CCB-MM3 TPP riboswitch aptamer (THI element)
Rfam family: TPP riboswitch aptamer (THI element)
About the family: Vitamin B(1) in its active form thiamin pyrophosphate (TPP) is an essential coenzyme that is synthesised by coupling of pyrimidine and thiazole moieties in bacteria. The previously detected thiamin-regulatory element, thi box was extended, resulting in a new, highly conserved RNA secondary structure, the THI element, which is widely distributed in eubacteria and also occurs in some archaea.
Source: Rfam by way of RNAcentral
CUCCACACCUAGGGGGGUCCCGGCAAGGGGCUGAGAUACUGCUGGCAUGCGUGCGGCGCAGUGACCCUUUGAACCUGAUCCGGAUCAUGCCGGCGAAGGGACAGGUGGAGCUGACCGCA